Long non-coding RNA from Gambusia affinis (western mosquitofish), 3190 nucleotides. RefSeq lists it as uncharacterized. Lineage: Eukaryota; Metazoa; Chordata; Actinopteri; Cyprinodontiformes; Poeciliidae. The record is from RefSeq and is a predicted model, not a curated record. The transcript is spliced from 3 exons.
UUUAAAUCAUAUUGUCAUUAAACUUUUCUAAUGGUUACCCUUUGUCUGUCUGAGUCUCUACAGACUGAAUUACUGGUUGAUCACGUGAGGUCAAAGUUUACAGAAAGAGCUGUUCUCCUGCUUGCUUGAAGUUUAUAAGAAGUUGCAAGAGGUUUAUAAUUUUAAUGACUAGUGUUACAGGUCCUUGGUACACUAUGGUCAGGUCUCCCUUACAAAACUACCUGUUGAGCCUCAGAUUAGCUAAAGUAGGACUUGGAUUAGCUCUUCUAACUCUGGCUCUGCUGACAGCUAUUCCUUCCUGUUAACCCUUUACGUCCUAAAUUUAAAAUCUCUGCCUGGAUAUUUUUGCUUAUUGUAAUUGUACGCAAUUCUUUAAAUGUCCUGUGAGUAAAUAUAUUUGCCCAUUUAUCCAUAGCAACUGGAACUUUAAAUAUCUAGAAAGUUAUUUGAGCAAUUUACCAUCUAUUAAAAGAUUGCUCCACUACAGCAGCGGUGAAAUUACCGUAAUAACCUGAUAUUGGUUAUUAUCAGGCUACAGUUCCCUUUCAGAAACUGUUGGAAUCUCUCAGAUAGCGCAAAGUGUGGCAGAAUUACGGUACUGCAACUUUGGCAGGACGGUUGCCGCUACGUUUAGGACUUAAAGGUUAAAAGACAGUUAUUCCUUUCUACUUUCACCACAUGCUUCCUGAGUACUAGUGUUUGUUUAAAGGUCAAUGACUCAGUUCAGUCAGCUGGACUUCUAUUGAUAGAUCACUUCUUCCAGUGAUAUAAUCGUGUUAUUAAAUGGUCAUGUUUUCUAUGUGCCUUGAUAAUUGCUGUGAAUUGGCAUCAUAUAAGUGAAUUGAAUUGAAGGGAGCUAAAAGGUGACAUGAUUCACUGACCCACCCGUUUGUUCUGUGAGUCACUGUCGGCCAUUCCCUCCUGAAGGUGCGUCUUUAGGAGAGCAAUGCAUGAAGAGUUUCUGUCACUUGGUUGAAGGUGUGAAUAACAGAGAAACCACCUGGUGUUUCCUUCUGGCUGAGGUUGUUAAAUUGAUGGAGCCUCAGGCCAUCUAUUUUAAGUCUAACAAUUUAAGUCUAACAAGUCUAGUUUAAGUCUGCCUCCUUUUUCCGACAAAACAACAUCCUCUGUCCUUGAGACGUAGACGAGCUGCUGAGUCCUGAUAUGUAUUUAUGUAGCUGCUGCAUAGUUUUAUAAAUAUGGAGGUUAGAAUAUGUACACCACUAAGCUUGAGAUUCCCAAAAACUCCAACGUAAGACAUCCAGGAGUCUUCCAUGAAAUCACUUGCUGUUCAUAUUGCGGAUGAAUCAAAGUCUAGACGCUAUAAUUUAACUCUGACCUCAAAAAAGGCUUCUGAACUCUUGCUGUGGAAUAACUUAGCAAAGACCCAACAUUUGUAAAUGUUUUUCCAUUUUGUCUGACGUAGACUGUCACAGACAUGUAAACUUGGUAAGUCCAACUCAGCUACUUCACAAUACAGAAGUGACCCAACAAGAGGAAAUGAUCAUAGGAUUUUUUUCACUUCAGCCCUAAAUUUAGGAUGAGAGAAAUUUAAAAUUCCCAACAAUAUAUAUUUAUAUAUAGUUCACAGAUGAUUUUAACAUGUCAUUAAAAUAUAAUUUCUUUGUGUAUUUGCCUUUAGCCUAUAAUACUAGUAAAUAAUAAUAUUAGUUAUUUUGAUCAAACCUUACUGAUUCACAGUCUCCAAAGAAAUCUGAAGUACAACUUGUAUUUUGUUUCCAAUGAUGGAGUUUCAAAUAAUUGUUAGAAUUAAACCCAAAAUACAAAAUACAAAUGGAGACCAAACAGCUGAAAUCUGAUUGUACACAUUUCAGGUUUAGACUAGUUAUUAUAAACUACAAGACCUUCCUGUUUCUGUCAUUGUGUGGUUAAAACAGUCCUUCCUGUAAAGACACGGGUCAAGAAUAAAAAUAGACAACAAAGCAAAUGUAGCAAACGAAGUUCAUAGUUACCACAAUGGCUGCAAACUAGACAGUUUUUAUGAAGUUCAACUCUAAAUACAGUUAAACAUUUAACACCUUAUCCAGCUGGAGCUGCUGGACACAGAAUAAAAUGAAACUAGUUUCAUCCAGUCGUACAGCAGACCUGUGAUCACAUCAGUAGUUUUAUAAAGUCAUAGUAAUGAUUCACGAUGACGAUCUAAUCAAACUUUUUACUGCACUGAUGUUCGCCACCUUGUGGUGGUUUAACUUUACGACCACAAAACCCCUACUGUCUUACUGUUUUGAUAAGACUUUUUGAAAAUUGUUUGACAGUUCUCGGGGGUGGUGGUGGUGGUGCGGUUGGAUUUUCCAGAUCUAAAAUCGGACAUAUUCAACAUCGUCUUGGCCCGACUAUUGCAGCCUGUGAAGUUGGUAGCCAAUCAGAAAGCGCGGUGACGUAAGAAGGGAGGUGAAUCCCAAACAGCUGACAUCGGAAGUGAUAUGUGGAAAGGUUUAUUACUAUUGUAAGAGUGAAAACUGUAGUUAUGAAAAUGUAAAAUGUUUUGGGAAAUGUUUUAUUGUGAAAGGCUCGCUGGAAGGAAGUUGGGGGGAAGAGCGAACGUUGGGGUUACGGCGGUGUGCGGUAACGGCUGGGUAGCGGAGAAGAAAUUAAAUGUUCGACAUUGAGAAAGAGCUCAAUUGUUUCUGUGGAUUAUUCUACAAAGGAGAAUCACAGUACUUGGACACCCACGAGUCUUACACUAUAUAUAAAGAGCAAACCCGAUUCCAGGUUGAACGGAAAACAACAAGUUAUUCCACCGCAAGAGUUCAGAACGAUUUCAAAAAAAUCCCUCUGGAAAUUUUUGCUUGCAUUAUGCUCAGUCUGCAGAAAAAACCCAAUCUAACCCUCCGUCCAACCCUAAUUCCAAGCCUUAUUCCAUCCAUCCUUCAAACCAUAAUGUCGACACUCCACACAUCCCUCCUUUCUGAACAAUUUACGUAUUGAAUUAUCCAGACCAACCCUAAAUCUAAACCUAAAUCCAACUUUGACUCCAACUCUCCUUCCCAGUGAAGGACGGGAAGGAAUAAUUGUGACAUGAAGAAGCUGCAGAAAUUUCCCAGUACUGGUUGAGAGUCGACUUUCUCCAGCUUCCAGUCUGUUUAUUGGCCUGUCCUCCUUUCUCCUCCAAACUCACUCAUCUCCUGCUGAACAUGUCCCCACCUGUUUGUGAUUUUCACUGUUUCUA